AUUGAACGCUGGCGGCAGGCCUAACACAUGCAAGUCGGACGGUAGCACAGAGAGCUUGCUCUCGGGUGACGAGUGGCGGACGGGUGAGUAAUGUCUGGGGAUCUGCCCGAUAGAGGGGGAUACCCACUGGAAACGGUGGCUAAUACCGCAUAACGGCGCAAGCCCAAAGAGGGGGACCUUCGGGCCUCUCACUAUCGGAUGAACCCAGAUGGGAUUAGCUAGUAGGCGGGGUAACGGCCCACCUAGGCGACGAUCCCUAGCUGGUCUGAGAGGAUGACCAGCCACACGGGAACUGGGACACGGUCCAGACUCCUACGGGAGGCAGCAGUGGGGAAUAUUGCACAAUGGGCGAAAGCCUGAUGCAGCCAUGCCGCGUGCAUGAAGAAGGCCUUCGGGUUGUAAAGUACUUUCAGCGGGGAGGAAGGCGAUAAGGUUAAUAACCUUGUCGAUUGACGUUACCCGCAGAAGAAGCACCGGCUAACUCCGUGCCAGCCGCCGCAGUAA
RNAcentral lists this ribosomal RNA (504 nucleotides) under uncultured bacterium. RNAcentral describes it as "partial 16S ribosomal RNA". It matches the Rfam family "Bacterial small subunit ribosomal RNA", at positions 29 to 523 of the family's 1533-position model. The record is from RNAcentral.